GAGUUUGAUCCUGGCUCAGAACGAACGCUGGCGGCAGGCUUAACACAUGCAAGUCGAACGCCCCGCAAGGGAGUGGCGGACGGGUGAGUAACGCGUGGGACGUGCCCUGAGGUACGGAAUAACUGCGGGAAACUGCAGCUAAUACCGUAUGAGCCCCGCAAGGGGGAAAGAUUUAUCGCCUUGGGAGCGGCCCGCGUCGGAUUAGCUAGUUGGUGGGGUAACGGCCUACCAAGGCUUCGAUCCGUAGCUGGUCUGAGAGGACGAUCAGCCACACUGGGACUGAGACACGGCCCAGACUCCUACGGGAGGCAGCAGUGGGGAAUCUUGCGCAAUGGGGGCAACCCUGACGCAGCCAUGCCGCGUGAACGAUGAAGGCCUUAGGGUUGUAAAGUUCUUUUUACCCGUGACGAUGAUGACGGUAACGGGAGAAUAAGCUCCGGCUAACUUCGUGCCAGCCGCCGCCGUAAG
RNAcentral lists this ribosomal RNA (468 nucleotides) under uncultured Alphaproteobacteria bacterium. RNAcentral's name for it is "bacterial SSU rRNA". It matches the Rfam family "Bacterial small subunit ribosomal RNA", at positions 9 to 524 of the family's 1533-position model. The record is from RNAcentral. Lineage: Bacteria; Pseudomonadati; Pseudomonadota; Alphaproteobacteria.